UACGUAGGGGGCUAGCGUUGUCCGGAAUCAUUGGGCGUAAAGCGCGCGUAGGCGGUUACUUAAGUCGGAUGUGAAAGCCCUCGGCUUAACUGAGGAAGUGCACCCGAAACUGAGUAGCUAGAGUACGAAAGAGGGUCGCGGAAUUCCCGGUGUAGAGGUGAAAUUCGUAGAUAUCGGGAGGAACACCGGUGGCGAAGGCGGCGACCUGGGUCGAGACUGACGCUGAGGCGCGAAAGCGUGGGGAGCAAACAGG
Molecule: ribosomal RNA, 253 nt
Filed under: uncultured bacterium
Lineage: Bacteria
Description: partial 16S ribosomal RNA
Rfam family: Bacterial small subunit ribosomal RNA
Source: RNAcentral